Molecule: non-coding RNA, 218 nt
Organism: Paramuricea clavata
Lineage: Eukaryota; Metazoa; Cnidaria; Anthozoa; Malacalcyonacea; Plexauridae
Source: the annotation of a GenBank genome assembly
CACCCGUACACGUUGUCUUUAUCUUCUUGCUGUUUUAAAAGUGAUGGGCAGUUAAUCAUAAAACUACUAAAUAAGUAACUGCGUAGAAGUUUGGUCUGAAGUUUGACUGUUUUCUCAGAACAAAUUCAAACUUAUUGAGCACUAACAAAAUAAUCAAAUAUACAACUGUAAUUAAUAUUACCAUAUCACAAAUCAAUAGAGUCGGGAUCUUUUUUAAA